UUGUGAGCCAAAGAAAAAAAAGAGGAAAUAGAAUGAUUCUCAGCCAUUAGAACCAGACCGUUCAACUCCAUGCAGGUUUAGACAUGUUUUGCAGACAUGAAGUCAUAUAGCUCAUUACACAUCAUAAACGGCAAAUUUCAACACGUCUGGAAUCAUUUUCACACGCACGUCUCAUCAAAUGAGAUCUGGGCCGCACCUCAAGAGACAUACGGCUGGCCUUUAUAAGAACUGGAGAACUUUAUAAUUGGACCCGUCUGAAAAUAACACGCAGUUUAGCUCUAUUCCAGGUAGAGAGAGCUUUACUGUCUGUAGAAGCAGGUAACAUGUUUGGAUUGUUUCCUUUGUGGUUGGAGUUGAAAGUGUGACCUAGAAAAACCUAUCACCACAUAUGCGCAGCUAAUUUAUUUAUAAUGAACAUAACCACAAAUUAACACAAAAGGUCUACAGGACUUCCUCAUAGCAUCAAACAGUGAAGUUUGAAGUGCAACUAUUUGAGGACUUACUGCAGGCAAACAAAAACCCGAUACCAUUCAA
Molecule: long non-coding RNA, 534 nt
Organism: Sinocyclocheilus grahami
Lineage: Eukaryota; Metazoa; Chordata; Actinopteri; Cypriniformes; Cyprinidae
Exons: 3
Source: RefSeq, a predicted model, not a curated record